AGAGUUUGAUCCUGGCUCAGAAUCAACGCUGGCGGCGUGCCUAACACAUGCAAGUCGAGCGAGAAAGGGGCUUCGGCCCUGAGUAAAGCGGCGCACGGGUGAGUAACACGUGGGUAAUCUACCCUAGAGUGGGGAAUAACAUCGGGAAACCGAUGCUAAUACCGCAUACGCUCACGAAGUCUUCGGAUUUUGUGACGAAAGGAGCAAUCCGCUCUUGGAGGAGCCCGCGGCUGAUUAGCUAGUUGGUAAGGUAAUGGCUUACCAAGGCAACGAUCAGUAUCCGGUCUGAGAGGACGGUCGGACACACUGGAACUGAGACACGGCCCAGACUCCUACGGGAGGCAGCAGUGGGGAAUAUUGGACAAUGGGCGCAAGCCUGAUCCGGCCAUGCCGCAUGGGUGAUGAAGGCCCUAGGGUUGUAAAGCCCUUUCGGCGGGGAAGAUAAUGACGGUACCCGCAGAAGAAGCCCCGGCUAACUUCGUGCCAGCAGCCGCGGUAAU
RNAcentral lists this ribosomal RNA (500 nucleotides) under uncultured soil bacterium. Its description in RNAcentral is "bacterial SSU rRNA". It matches the Rfam family "Bacterial small subunit ribosomal RNA", at positions 8 to 524 of the family's 1533-position model. The record is from RNAcentral.